Meriones unguiculatus (Mongolian gerbil) is the source of this 530-nucleotide long non-coding RNA. RefSeq lists it as uncharacterized. Lineage: Eukaryota; Metazoa; Chordata; Mammalia; Rodentia; Muridae. The transcript is spliced from 4 exons. The record is from RefSeq and is a predicted model, not a curated record.
GCUUGUUGAUGAAAGCCAAAGAAUCCCACCACUGCGCUUGCAGCCACUACAAUAGGGGAUGGCGAUUGCAACGCCAGAAUGCAGCCAGCCACUGCGGGCUGUUUGUCUAAGGAGGUUCCCACGCACCCCACCUGCUGCCCAGUGCUCAGGGGGCCCCUAAGUGAGCAGCUAUGACUAGCAACCAGUGCUAAACACUGGGCCUUACUCCUGAAACAUCUGUGGAGACCUGGUUGCAAAGAGUUCCACUUCAGCCCAUGCUGCAUGAAUCUGCUCAGCACUCCUCUCCGGUCGUGAGUCCCUACUGUGCAUGACACAUGGGUCACUUGGGACUUCACUGAAGUCCAGGGAGCCCCUUCCUGUCCAGUCGCUCCAGACCGCCCUCUCUGCUGCCCAGUGCCGAGGAAGUAUCCAGACGGGCGGAGAAACAGGCCGAGCAGAGCAAGCAAGCCCCGCCCAUCCGAGAAGCCCCGCCCAGCCGCGAAGCCCCGCCCAGCUGCGCAGCCUGCCCCCUGGCUCCUGCUCACCCAGGU